UACGGGGGGGGCAAGCGUUGUUCGGAAUUACUGGGCGUAAAGGGCUCGUAGGUGGCCAACUAAGUCAUACGUGAAAUCCCUCGGCUUAACCGGGGAACUGCGUCUGAUACUGGAUGGCUUGAGUUUGGGAGAGGGAUGCGGAAUUCCAGGUGUAGCGGUGAAAUGCGUAGAUAUCUGGAGGAACACCGGUGGCGAAGGCGGCAUCCUGGACCAACACUGACACUGAUGCGCGACAGCAUGGGGAGCAAACAGG
RNAcentral lists this ribosomal RNA (253 nucleotides) under uncultured bacterium. RNAcentral's name for it is "partial 16S ribosomal RNA". It matches the Rfam family "Bacterial small subunit ribosomal RNA", at positions 524 to 776 of the family's 1533-position model. The record is from RNAcentral.